Molecule: transfer RNA, 73 nt
Filed under: Lachnospiraceae bacterium OF09-6
Lineage: Bacteria; Bacillati; Bacillota; Clostridia; Lachnospirales; Lachnospiraceae
Description: tRNA-Lys
Rfam family: tRNA
About the family: Transfer RNA (tRNA) molecules are approximately 80 nucleotides in length. Their secondary structure includes four short double-helical elements and three loops (D, anti-codon, and T loops). Further hydrogen bonds mediate the characteristic L-shaped molecular structure. tRNAs have two regions of fundamental functional importance: the anti-codon, which is responsible for specific mRNA codon recognition, and the 3' end, to which the tRNAs corresponding amino acid is attached (by aminoacyl-tRNA synthetases). tRNAs cope with the degeneracy of the genetic code in two manners: having more than one tRNA (with a specific anti-codon) for a particular amino acid; and 'wobble' base-pairing, i.e. permitting non-standard base-pairing at the 3rd anti-codon position.
Source: RNAcentral
UUUCGAUUAGCUCAGCUGGCAGAGCACCUGACUCUUAAUCAGGGUGUCCAGGGUUCGUACACCUGAUCGCGCA